RNAcentral lists this ribosomal RNA (465 nucleotides) under uncultured bacterium. Its description in RNAcentral is "partial 16S ribosomal RNA". It matches the Rfam family "Bacterial small subunit ribosomal RNA", at positions 338 to 795 of the family's 1533-position model. The record is from RNAcentral.
CCUACGGGAGGCAGCAGUGGGGAAUAUUGCGCAAUGGGCGAAAGCCUGACGCAGCGACGCCGCGUGAGGGAUGAAGGUCUUCGGAUCGUAAACCUCUGUCAGCAGGGAAGAACGGUCACUGUGCUAAUCAGCAGUGAAUUGACGGUACCUGCAAAGGAAGCACCGGCUAACUCCGUGCCAGCAGCCGCGGUAAUACGGAGGGUGCGAGCGUUAAUCGGAAUUACUGGGCGUAAAGCGCUCGUAGGCGGUAUGUCAAGUCAAGGGUGAAAGCCCCGCGCUCACCGUGGGAACUGCCUUUGAAACUGGCAAACUGGAGUGUGUGAGAGGAUAGUGGAAUUCCAGGUGUAGGAGUGAAAUCCGUAGAUAUCUGGAGGAACAUCAGUGGCGAAGGCGACUAUCUGGCACAUAACUGACGCUGAGGAGCGAAAGCGUGGGUAGCAAACAGGAUUAGAUACCCCGGUAGUC